GGUUAAGCGACUAAGCGUACACGGUGGAUGCCCUGGCAGUCAGAGGCGAUGAAGGGCGUGCUAAUCUGCGAUAAGCGCCGGUAAGGUGAUAUGAACCGUUAUAACCGGCGAUACCCGAAUGGGGAAACCCAGUGUGAUUCGUCACACUAUCAUUAACUGAAUCCAUAGGUUAAUGAGGCGAACCGGGGGAACUGAAACAUCUAAGUACCCCGAGGAAAAGAAAUCAACCGAGAUUCCCCCAGUAGCGGCGAGCGAACGGGGAGGAGCCCAGAGCCUGAAUCAGCAUGUGUGUUAGUGGAAGCGUCUGGAAAGGCGCGCGAUACAGGGUGACAGCCCCGUACACAAAAGCGCAUGUGCUGUGAGCUCGAUGAGUAGGGCGGGACACGUGGUAUCCUGUCUGAAUAUGGGGGGACCAUCCUCCAAGGCUAAAUACUCCUGACUGACCGAUAGUGAACCAGUACCGUGAGGGAAAGGCGAAAAGAACCCCGGCGAGGGGAGUGAAAAAGAACCUGAAACCGUGUACGUACAAGCAGUGGGAGCACAGGUUUACCUGUGUGACUGCGUACCUUUUGUAUAAUGGGUCAGCGACUUAU
Molecule: ribosomal RNA, 593 nt
Filed under: Salmonella enterica subsp. enterica serovar Berta
Lineage: Bacteria; Pseudomonadati; Pseudomonadota; Gammaproteobacteria; Enterobacterales; Enterobacteriaceae
Also listed under: 7 other names
Description: partial 23S ribosomal RNA
Rfam family: Bacterial large subunit ribosomal RNA
Source: RNAcentral